This 76-nucleotide transfer RNA is filed under the name Nitrososphaerota archaeon. RNAcentral describes it as "Thaumarchaeota archaeon tRNA-Gly". It matches the Rfam family "tRNA". Rfam says of the family: Transfer RNA (tRNA) molecules are approximately 80 nucleotides in length. Their secondary structure includes four short double-helical elements and three loops (D, anti-codon, and T loops). The record is from RNAcentral. Lineage: Archaea; Thermoproteati; Nitrososphaerota.
GCGGAGUUAGUCCAGAGCCCCACAGGACAUCAUCUUCCCAAGCUGAAGAUCGCGUGUUCAAAUCNCACACUCCGCA